CGAGUACUCCCUCCGUCCCAAAAUUCUUGUUUUAGAUUUGUCUAAAUACGGAUGUAUCAAGUCAUGUUUUAGUACUAGAUACAUUCGUAUUUAGACGAAUCUAAGAUAAGAAUUUUGGGACGGAGGAAGUACAAC
Triticum aestivum (bread wheat) is the source of this 135-nucleotide non-coding RNA. The record is from Rfam. NCBI's taxonomy places the organism in Eukaryota, Viridiplantae, Streptophyta, Magnoliopsida, Poales, Poaceae.